Molecule: ribosomal RNA, 253 nt
Filed under: uncultured bacterium
Lineage: Bacteria
Description: partial 16S ribosomal RNA
Rfam family: Bacterial small subunit ribosomal RNA
Source: RNAcentral
UACAGAGGUGGCAAGCGUUGUUCGGAAUUACUGGGCGUAAAGGGCGCGUAGGCGGCCUCCUAAGUCAGACGUGAAAUCCCAAGGCUCAACCUUGGAACUGCGUCUGAUACUGGGUGGCUUGAGUUCGGGAGAGGGAUGCGGAAUUCCAGGUGUAGCGGUGAAAUGCGUAGAUAUCUGGAGGAACACCGGUGGCGAAGGCGGCAUCCUGGACCGAAACUGACGCUGAGGCGCGAAAGCUAGGGGAGCAAACGGG